Pipistrellus kuhlii (Kuhl's pipistrelle) is the source of this 1925-nucleotide long non-coding RNA. RefSeq lists it as uncharacterized. The transcript has 3 exons. The record is from RefSeq and is a predicted model, not a curated record. NCBI's taxonomy places the organism in Eukaryota, Metazoa, Chordata, Mammalia, Chiroptera, Vespertilionidae.
UUGAUCUCUUCCCACCUCUCACCCUCCCCUGCCUUCCCUCUGAGAUUCCACAAUCUGCUGGUAAUCACUUUUAGAAUUUUGCUUUAAAACUUGAAAUUGUUACUCUGACCGGGUAGUUCAGGCGUUUGGUGUCGUCCAUACACCAAAAGUUUUGGGUUUGAUUCCCCUCAGGGCACACAUCUAGGUUUCAGGUUGGGGAAUGUACAGGAAGCAACCAAUCUCUAACGGCUACUCAGGAGCCUCACACAUAACUGUUCCCGCACAGACAGGACCCGGGCCCUGGAAGGUGAAGGGCCCAGCCCUCAGUCCUCAGCCCAUUGGUGGGCAGCCGGGCACCCCCCUCCCCCUGACAUCCAACCACAGGCCUCGAAAGACACAGGCAGGACUCCAGAUCACAACACCCAGCCAGGUUGACACAGUUCUGGUUUUAUCCACAGUCAUACAAUCACAACUUAUAUAUAUAUACAGAUAUAUUUGUAUUUAUAUACCUUUAAAUUACACAGUCAUGUACAAAACAGGUGCAUUGCUGAGACCACAGCACUCCUCGGAGUGUCACAAGUGUCGGACUAAUGAAGUCAGGAGCCGGGUGGCAGACUGGCGGGCAGCCGCGGCCUCCUGCAGAGCCAGGCUGAGACGUGGGCGACUUGGGAUGAAACACAUUACUGGCUGAGCCCAGGGCGGGCGCUGCAGCUACAGGAGCUGGUGGGCACAGUGAGGGGCUGGUGCCCACGCGGAGUUGGGGGCCCCGAUACCAGCACUAAUGGGGGGGCGCGGGGGUCAGGCCCGGGGGCUCAGGGGUCUCUUCCACGUGAGAUGCUCCACUCCGGGCCUGAGGAACCUGGGACCGACCGCUCGGAAGGAAUGGGGCUUUGAGUCCCUGCCGGGGAGUGGGCAGCUGGAGUGCUGAGGGGACAGCAGGGCAGCGCCCCUCCCCAGGUGCGGGGAAGCUGCUGGCACAGAGAGGGGGAGCCCAGGCCCCGAGGUGCAAAGGUGGCAGCUUCCUGACUUCCAGGGGUAGGUGGUGAAGGCAGAGGCCCCCACCAGCUCCUGCCUGGAGCCGCGGAGGGGCUGUGUUCUGGGGCUGGGAGGGCUGAGGGGUCUGAGACACACCUCAGGACGGAACAGAGGCUCAGAGAGCAGUGACAAGAAAGGGGGUGCUGUGGGGGGCUAGUUUGCCUGUCCCUAGGGGUGCUAUUGUCCCCACCGCCUCCCUGGCCCCGAGGGAGGCCUGCCCCAGCUCAGGCCUCUGUGCUCACACGGACAGGGGCAGCUGAGGCUGGAUCUGACCGGACAGGGGCUGUGGGGAGAAGCGAGCGAGGAGCGAAAGGCUGAGGGGUGACAGCGGGGCUGGGGUCUCACUGUCUUCAGCCAGAGGCCCAGGGACGGUGCUGUGGGAGUGGGGGGUCUGCAGUCUGAGGCCCAGAGGGCUCCCCGGUUCCGCAGGCAGUCUCCGGCCUCGCCCCGGCUCUGGGAGACGCCCUAGCCAGGCCCUCCUCUGGGCCUUCCCUGCCCUGGCCUGCUCCCCCAGCAGUGACCUGCUCCCCCAGCACCACUCCUUCACAGCCACAGCCACAGGCCUGCUCCUCACCCCCAACUCCUGGGCUGAGACCCCGGCUCGGAGAGAUGGCGGGGGGGGGGGGGGGGGCGGGCUGUGAGUGUGGGGACAGGACAAGGAGGAGGACUGGGUGACUGCCCCGCUGCUAGGCCAGGCUUCUCCCUCCCGCCACCCCCUGCCUCUUCUGUUGCCUGCAGCCUUUCCCGGAGGCUCCCAGGCUGGAAGCUCCCAGGGGCUGCGGUGUCGCCCCCUGCAGGCCAGAGAAGGGGAGUGGACUGGGGGGCCCCAAGGCUCGGUCUGAAGGCUGGCUGAACCCCGUGAGGCUCUGGUUUUAGAUGAGUGUGCAGGGAGGGAGGGGGGGUGAGAAAGA